Sinocyclocheilus grahami is the source of this 580-nucleotide long non-coding RNA. RefSeq lists it as uncharacterized. Lineage: Eukaryota; Metazoa; Chordata; Actinopteri; Cypriniformes; Cyprinidae. The record is from RefSeq and is a predicted model, not a curated record. The transcript is spliced from 3 exons.
GCUGAUAGAGUCGGCUUAGCUGAGUCUUCUUCAUUUUCCAGCUUCAAACAUUUACAUUAUACGUGUUUUUGUUUAUAGUAGUGUGGAUUAUUUUGUGUAUUGAUCAGUAACAAACACUUGAACUGGCUGUUUUCGCAAUGGGUGGGAAGAAGAAGAAGUCUGCAGCGUCCGAACGCACCGGUGGGCGGGGUUAGAGCGUUCCGCGGUGGGCGUGGCCUGUUGAACUACAAACAAGCGAAUGGAGAGGAUCGUGUUGUGUGUUCUUCAGCUCUUGUGUGAGGAAUUCUUUUGAAAAGAUGACCUUUCAGACUUGGCAUGUGGGGACAAAUAUCCAUCCACACAAGAUACACAGGACUCUUGGGUCUGCUAUUACUGCUGUAAUGGGUGGUUUCACUGGGAAUGUGUUAACCAACCCAAUAUAAAAGUUGUUUUGUUUGUCCUGGAUGCCAAUGCCCUGUUUAAUUUUGUAAUAGGAUUUCUAUGCACCAUUUGAUUAGAUGCCCAUAUAAUCCCCAGCUCAAUGACAAUGAAGAUAUGACGCCCAUCCUGAAGAUGUGACUAACAGAUGCAUAGGUUCUGU